This 497-nucleotide ribosomal RNA is filed under the name uncultured bacterium. RNAcentral's name for it is "partial 16S ribosomal RNA". It matches the Rfam family "Bacterial small subunit ribosomal RNA", at positions 28 to 507 of the family's 1533-position model. The record is from RNAcentral.
GAUGAACGCUGGCGGCGUGCCUAAUACAUGCAAGUCGAGCGAACAGACGAGGAGCUUGCUCCUCUGACGUUAGCGGCGGACGGGUGAGUAACACUUGGAUAACCUACCUAUAAGACUGGGAUAACUUCGGGAAACCGGAGCUAAUACCGGAUAAUAUAUUGAACCGCAUGGUUCAAUAGUGAAAGACGGUUUUGCUGUCACUUAUAGAUGGAUCCGCGCCGCAUUAGCUAGUUGGUGAGGUAACGGCUUACCAAGGCAACGAUGCGUAGCCGACCAGAGAGAGGAACAGGACACGCUGGAAGAGAGGAACGGGCCAGACUCGUACGGGAGGCAGAAGAAGGGAAUCUUCCGAAAGGGGAGAAGGCAUGACGGAGCAACGCGGCAUAAGUGAUGAAGGAAUUCGGAUGGGAAAACUCUGUUAUUAGGGAAGAAGAAAUGUGUAAGUAACUAUGCAAGUCAUGACGGUACCUGAUCAGAAAGCCACGGCUAACUACGUG